UGAAAACCAAUGAGGAAAAAAGUAACUAGAUCCCAUACAAACAGAGACGGAUUGCCAUCAGGCUGAAAGCAUUCCUUUGUGAUGGUCUAGUGAAAGACAUUUCUUAGGUGCCAUAUCGAAAGCGAGUAGGUAUGGACGUACACAGGCGUUAACUGUUUUUGAGUGGAAGCUUUGCUUCAAUCAGGGUGGCAACGCGGGAGGAGUUCCCGUCCCUUUU
Molecule: non-coding RNA, 217 nt
Filed under: Halobacillus mangrovi
Lineage: Bacteria; Bacillati; Bacillota; Bacilli; Caryophanales; Bacillaceae
Description: T-box sequence
Rfam family: T-box leader
About the family: Uncharged tRNA acts as the effector for transcription antitermination of genes in the T-box leader family.
Source: RNAcentral